CCUACGGGAGGCAGCAGUGAGGAAUAUUGGUCAAUGGGCGGGAGCCUGAACCAGCCAAGCCGCGUGAGGGAAGAAGGUACAGCGUAUCGUAAACCUCUUUUUUCAGGGACCAAAGCCGGGACCUGUUCCCCGGUUGCGGUACCCUAAGGAAAAGGCAUCGCCUACCUCCGUGCCGGCGGCCGCGGUAAUCCGGAGGAUGCGAGCGUUAUCCGGAUUUAUUGGGUUUAAGGGGUGCGCAGGCGGCCUGUUAAGUCUGCGGUAAAAGCCCGGGGCUCAACCCCGGCGAGUCGUUGAAACUGGCGGGCUGGAGUUGGAGAGAAGUAAGCGGAAUGCGCGGUGUAGCGGUGAAAUGCUUAGAUAUCGCGCAGAACCCCGAUUGCGAAGGCAGCGUACCGGCUCCACACUGACGCUGAGGCACGAAAGCGUGGGUAUCGAACAGGACUAGAUACCCGAGUAGUC
This 459-nucleotide ribosomal RNA is filed under the name uncultured bacterium. Its description in RNAcentral is "partial 16S ribosomal RNA". It matches the Rfam family "Bacterial small subunit ribosomal RNA", at positions 338 to 795 of the family's 1533-position model. The record is from RNAcentral.